CCUACGGGAGGCAGCAGUGGGGAAUCUUAGACAAUGGGGGCAACCCUGAUCUAGCCAUGCCGCGUGAGUGAUGAAGGCCUUAGGGUCGUAAAACUCUUUCGCCUGUGAUGAUAAUGACAGUAGCAGGUAAAGAAACCCCGGCUAACUCCGUGCCAGCAGCCGCGGUAAUACGGAGGGGGUUAGCGUUGUUCGGAAUUACUGGGCGUAAAGCGCGCGUAGGCGGAUUAGAAAGUUGGGGGUGAAAUCCCGGGGCUCAACCCCGGAACUGCCUCCAAAACUGCUAGUCUAGAGUUCGAGAGAGGUGAGUGGAAUUCCGAGUGUAGAGGUGAAAUUCGUAGAUAUUCGGAGGAACACCAGUGGCGAAGGCGGCUCACUGGCUCGAUACUGACGCUGAGGUGCGAAAGUGUGGGGAGCAAACAGGAUUAGAUACCCUGGUAGUCCACACCGUAAACGAUGAAUGCCAGUCGUCGGAUAGUAUACUAUUCGGUGACACACCUAACGGAUUAAGCAUUCCGCCUGGGGAGUACGGUCGCAAGAUUAAAACUCAAAGGAA
This 553-nucleotide ribosomal RNA is filed under the name uncultured bacterium. Its description in RNAcentral is "bacterial SSU rRNA". It matches the Rfam family "Bacterial small subunit ribosomal RNA", at positions 338 to 909 of the family's 1533-position model. The record is from RNAcentral.